GAUGAACGCUGGCGGCGUGCCUAAUACAUGCAAGUCGAGCGAACAGACGAGGAGCUUGCUCCUCUGACGUUAGCGGCGGACGGGUGAGUAACACGUGUAUAACCUACCUAUAAGACUGGGAUAACUUCGGGAAACCGGAGCUAAUACCGGAUAAUAUAUUGAAUCGCAUGGUUCAAUAGUGAAAGACGGUUUUGCUGUCACUUAUAGAUGGAUCCGCGCCGCAUUAGCUAGUUGGUAAGGUAACGGCUUACCAAGGCAACGAUGCGUAGCCGACCUGAGAGGGUGAUCGGCGACACUGGAACUGAGACACGGUCCAGACUCCUACGGGAGGCAGCAGUAGGGAAUCUUACGCAAUGGGCGAAAGCCUGACGGAGCAACGCCGCGUGAGUGAUGAAGGUCUUCGGAUCGUAAAACUCUGUUAUUAGGGAAGAACAAAUGUGUAAGUAACUAUGCACGUCUUGACGGUACCUAAUCAGAAAGCCACGGCUAACUACGUG
This 497-nucleotide ribosomal RNA is filed under the name uncultured bacterium. RNAcentral describes it as "partial 16S ribosomal RNA". It matches the Rfam family "Bacterial small subunit ribosomal RNA", at positions 28 to 507 of the family's 1533-position model. The record is from RNAcentral.